GAUGAACGCUGGCGGCGUGCCUAAUACAUGCAAGUCGAGCGCGACUGAUUACACCGUUCUUCGGAACACCGUAAUCAUCGAGCGUCGGACGGGUGAGUAACACGUGGACAACCUACCCUUAAGACUGGGAUAACCGCGGUAAACCGUGGCUAAUACCGGAUAAUACUUUUAUACAACGGUAUAGACGUUGAAAGGUGGAUUUCUAUCACUUAAGCAUGUUCCUGCGGCGAAUUAGCUGGUUGGUAAGGUAACGGCUUACCAAGGCGACGAUGCGUAGCCGAACUGAGAGGGUGAUCGGCCACACUGGAACUGAGACACGGUCCAGACUCCUACGGGAGGCAGCAGUAGGGAAUAUUGGGCAAUGGGCGAAAGCCUGACGCAGCAAUGCCGCGUGUGCGAAGAAGGUCUUCGGAUCGUAAAGCACUGUUGUUAGGGAAGAACGACAGUAAGAGUAACUGUUGACUGUGUGACGGUACUGACCGAGAAAGCACCGGCUAACUACGUG
This 505-nucleotide ribosomal RNA is filed under the name uncultured bacterium. RNAcentral's name for it is "partial 16S ribosomal RNA". It matches the Rfam family "Bacterial small subunit ribosomal RNA", at positions 28 to 507 of the family's 1533-position model. The record is from RNAcentral.